CGCAGAAGAAAUAUACGGCAGCCAAUUCGUUCCUUUUGCACAGCCGGGAGCCAGAUGUUGGAGGCAGAACUCAGUGAGCAGAUUUAAUCCAUUGACACACAUUGGAAGAAAAAGAAAUUUCCGCAUCAACUCGAGGUCUAUGGCUGCCUUGAGAAGAGAUCUGAGAACCUGACACAUCACUUAAGAUGGGACAGCAUGGGAAAAUAUUAGCCAAGGGCCGAGUUGAAAGCUUUUCUUCUUCAAAAGGCGAAUCUUCUACACUGAGCUAUAGCAUUUGCAAGGCUAAAAUGCAGCACAGUAUUAAACAGCAAGGGGACCAUGUCAGACUGUUGCAGGAAGCAGUAAAUUGCAGAGUUUGUGGACUCUGUUCAGGCACAACAAGAAAUCAUUGUAACUCAAGUGAUGAAGUCGAAACUACAGGAAUCCAGUGGAAACUAUUUUUCAUGCUCUGAAUUGCAGCUAAAGUUGUGGCUUUAAACUGUGUCAAAUAAAUGGCAGCACUUGAGAUCCAGAUCUGCACAGCCUUAAGUACCAAGUUGAAUCCAGCUCUUACAGCUUAUAAUGAGUCCAAGAAUAAAAAUCACUUUUCUUGGGACUAAUUUGUUUCCACGGAGUAUUUCAUGACUCCAGGAAAGCUCCUGUCUUUCUCAAUAAGGGAGACCUAAUCCCAAGCAGCUGCUGAAUUCACAUUGAAUUGGUGUGAGUAUGGCAAAGCACUUAACCUGCUCUCAGCUCUUAUCCCGAGCCUUGCAGUGCUUUGUGUGCACCUCAGAAAGUUUCCAGUUGAUUGGAUGGAGUUCCACAGCCUGAGUUUCAGUUAACUGAGGAUGUCAGACAGACUCAGGAUGCGAGAUCUGUUACAUAACACAAAACUGUGUGAAGGUUAAAAAUUAUAAAAUUAAAUUAACCUGGACUUUAGUGCUAAUCAAGAAUAUAUCAUAAUGAGGCUGGACGUCAGUCCUGGGUGCUAAGCAGAGGGAAAGAACUUAUUCCAUCGAGAGUUUCAUCUGCCAUGGCCAACACGACAAAUGGCUCAAACUUCCAGUUUCACUUCAAAGGGUUUUUCCAGAGUACUGCUGAUCUUCUUCAGGCCUUUAUCUCCAGGCUUGCACCUACUCAUGUGCUUUCGCCUCUUCCCAAUGGUUUCAAAAUUCCCUCUCUAGAAAUAUCUAUAAUUUUACUAAAGAAAAACAAUCAGUCAUUCAUUUCUACUACGUAAGUUUGGAUUACAGUUGACAACAUCCAAUGAAAAAGGGGCACUGGAAUUACCUUCCAGUGGAAAACGCUUCACAAGCGAUGUUCAGUAAUGUGACGUGUGAGAAAAGAACUAGAUAAAAUAAAGCAAGUUUUAGGAUACCAAUUCCUUAGAAUUAAUAGCUAUAGCUCAUUAGAAAGCUUAAUGAGGUAUAAUAAACCAUGGAGAUCUUUUUCUACCUUUCCUUGAAAGCCACUUUUAGUUGGCAGAGCUCUGUAUAGCACUGUGCAUGUCAAUGUGUGCAUUAUUAGCACUACAAAAUUGUUAGUGCUAGAAAAUUGCAUACUGUUCAUGAAGCAUAGCAUACAAUAAGCUGCAAGGUGUGAAAGCAAAUUUAACAUGACAAAACAGCUAAUAAGAAAAUCCAAUGAAGAUGUGACCUUCAAAAAAUCUUUUUUUCUUUUUUUUUUAAUGAAAGGUGAAUUUGGUGGUUAUUCCAAGGAAACAUCAUUGUCAGAUUACAGUAGUUCACAGAUUUAUCUUUACUUAAAACUGCAUUACAGCAAAGCCAUUGUAAAACCCUUAAUACUUGUUUUAAUGAAAUGUUUUUUAAAAGCAAAUACUUCAAACCCACAGAAAUGGAAAGCAGUUGCAAGAGAGAGACAGAGCUAGAAGGAAAAAUAUCACAUCUCCCAUUCUUUAUUCUGCCUUAUUCUUUUUAGAUUUUGGGAGGGAUCUGAGAGGAAAUGUGAACAGUAUUUCCAUGAUUGUACAGAAAUUAUAUGCUGUCUGGGUUGUACCAAUAAUUGCUCCAGUUUGGAGAAUUGACCAUACACGGAAAAGCACAGAACUGAUUCCAGUUGAACUAAAUUUGAAUCCUGUGAUUUCCCUUUGCAUUAUCUAACAUAGGAAAAAGAUACAUCUGGCAUAAGUUUCAUUUGCAACCCCCAUUUCAGAAAACCCUGUGUUCACCUGUGCACACCCCUCAAGUUUGUGUAUGCAAGCUCUAGGGACCACAGGUCUGCUAUCUCAAUUUUGUACAGAUCACUUUCUGGUCAAUACGCAAUAAGCACAACCUGAAAGUCAAUGAGGGGCUAAAACUUUCAUCCCCUAUCUAUGCCUGUGACAGGGCUCUUUAAGGGGGAAAAAGACAAAAAAGCUCAUAAGUUAGUCUCUGCAAAGCAGCCAAAUAUGUAUAAACUGUCAAUGUCAAGUGAGGAGCAGGAAAGAGAAGAACGGUGAUUGAGGAACUAACUAGAGAAUAGACAAAAACUCUUUCUGUUUUCCUUUCCCUACUUAGAUCCUCCCAUCUAACUCAGAAGGGUACAGCCAUUUCAGUAUCUCAUAUCACCUAGGAUGUAGAUGCUCUCAGGCCACAAACUACCUGGCACCUUGUUACAGAAACAUGGGCAGCUCUCCUUUGCAGGAAGAUUCCUCAAGGAGCCCUCCUGACCUCUUUCCAGGUAAUAUCCUCCUCGGAUGAACCAAAGCCCAGAGCUCCCUUAAGGAAGUAUUUCUCACAAUAUUCUUUCUCAGAAGCUAAAUGGAAGUACAGAAGACAGGCCCCUCUUUACAUCUUCUACUCCUGCAAAUUAAUUGCUACCUACAGCAUGUUCAGCAUGUACAGCAUGCAUCACUGAUUCCCCAUUCCAUUAAGUUCAGUUUAGAUGGGCAAUGCAAAUUAAUUGAGGAAUGCAGCAUAACCCUAAGCUUCACGGUGAAAUCCUCUGUAAAUCAAGACCCAGCUUAACUAACAUCCUAGGGACCAACAGAAAUGGCAUGUAGAUACCCAGCUAACAUGGACCAGGCUCAUCACUUCCUUAAAAGAAGCUUACGUGAUGACAGUGUAAUUUAGUUUAAUUGAUGGGACACCUGGGAGACAGAGGAGCGCUUGUGCUCAAUACAUCCUCCCCACCACCAUGCUCAAUGGCACGCAGACUCAGAGCAAAGUGAAGGGCCAGACCACAAGCUACAGAAGAGAAAUUAGAACUGCAGACAGGCAUAGAAGCUCACAGAUCUGGUGAAACAACCUGGCCCAUCACACUCGCAACAUCACCCCUCCCAAGGUGGUGGACUGGUGGCAUGUUUAUGAAAAAGACUUUGAAGGACAGCAGUGAAGCAACUUUCUGUGUAUUUACAGAUUGCUAUGACCACGCAUAUUUGGAUAAAACAAGAGAUCAAUCAUAAGGCCUGGCAUCACACACUGGAUGGAGAUACCACAGUAGUGACUAACAGAGGGGUGAAGCAGAGCCUUCAGACUUCAAGCAAGCAGAUAGUGAAGAGAUGCUGAGGGAAGAGGGCUGUACUCAAAACCACGGUCUAAGAGUGUAAUCUUGGCAGCCACACUCUGGGGGAGCUGCACAAGGAAAGACUGCAUUUAUCAUGGAAAAGAUGUAAGGAAGAGCCUAGUCCAAUAUGUUAGCUGGAUAAAAAAUGCCUUAAAACUGAGUUGAUAUAAAACAGAAUCUGCACAAGUUACAGCACAAGCAUAGGUCAAGCUGCAGACUGAACUCAGAUUAUGUGUGACAGGUUGGACCAUGGCAGUAUGCGUUGUGAUCAAGAAAGGAAAUGCAUUCCAACUUGGAAUUGAGCAAAUACAUCAUUUUACCUUUCCUCCCACCCCAUCCCACCCCUGUUUUUGAAAGAGUUAGCAUGGAGUACUUGAUAUCUGCUGUGACAAUUUCCUGGCACUUCUUUAGGUGCAGAUGAAGAACAUCUAAGUGUAACUAAGCCAUCUUUAAAGAAAAAUCAAAGGUAAUGGUCAAGAAAGCUCUAAGGAAUUCAUUCACUUGACAAACUUUCCAUACAGUAUCUUGAUUCUAAUUCUUGAUAUCUUAGUGCUACAGGAGGUCAGAGGACUGAAAGUAACUGCUGUCUACUUCCACAUGAAUGUGGAAAUCCUCUCUUUUCCAUAAUCUUAACUUCCUACUUCUUGCUGUGAAGCAAGACACUGAGGUUUUGGCAUUUGCCGUUCAGACAAAAAUGAGGGAUUUCAAAAUAUUUCACCACAGGGGAAGGAAUGUCUGUGAGUUACUCCAGAGCAGCACUGAAUGCACUUGUCUAGUAGUGAUUCAAGGCUGCUCUUCUCCAUUUCUGUAGCUGACUUUUCAAAGAAAGAGGGGAAAACAUCCAAAUCUUUUUGAAUUCAGCUGUUCCUCUGAAUAAAGUUAAAAAAGGAGGCUGAACAUUUCCUUCUCUAUUUAUGAAAGGCCAUUAUUUACGCAUUCCUGAGAUAAACUAUGGGAAACAUAAAGCAGGGUGAUUUCUGAUUGAAUCAAUAAGGAUGAAGGAUGAUGAGAACAGUUUUUGUAUCUAUUAUACAGAGCAUAACACCACUUAUAAGCCAUACAAGCUAUCACUGGGGCAGGAGCUGAGCCCCCAUGCAGCAUGGAGCAUACAAAUCCAGGCAGCGCUGUGCAGGGAAUGACAAAAGCACCUCAGUCCUCCUGGUUCCUCAGCAGUGCUGCACUUGUACCUGGGAAAAGCUCUGCCCAGAGACAAGACAGCUGAGAUUAGGUAAGGACAUCACUAAGUUGAUGGUUCACAGUAUCCUGUAUAAUUGUGGUAUUUAGCACAUGUUGUUGGAUAAGGGCUGAAACCAAUUGCAUUCUGGUUAAUCUUCCUUGAGUACCUAUGGCUGGCUGGCUGGAAGAAAAUUAUUCUGAAAUGAAUUGGUAUCUUAUAAUAAAGGUUACAUUACCCAGUAAGACCUGCUCCUGGGCUAGCCCUGCCCUAUGUCCUGAAAGACUUUGAGGAAUGUGCGGGAGGAGGAGAAACUUUCCAUUUAAAUACCUCCUAAAUUUUUUCAUUCUUUGCCUUGGUCCUCCUCUCCUUUUCCCAUCCACACUGUUCAAACUGGGAUUGAGAGUAUCCCAUGAAACAUGCUUAGUUAUCUGGAUAUUUUUCUCUAGAUAAAUUUGCCUUGUGGUUAAGGUUUUCUUGUUUAAACCUGUCUUUGAAGAUAUCUGUAGCAGAAAAUAAAAAAUAAAAAAAAUUGAGGCUGCUCUGUUUCACUAUGCACCUAGUGACCUGCCUAACUGUUGUAUGCUUCUUAAGCCCAGGACAGAGGAGUACAUACGCAGUUUUAUAAGGUUACAUAAAAAGUUACGAAUGUCUUAUGUAAGUAUUUGACUUGUUCGUAGUCAAUGGGAACUAUUUGUACAUGUAAGGCAAGCAAGAUUUACCCUGUAAUGGAUAAUCCUUUCUUCAUUUAAUAAAUAAUCCUUUGUUUACCUUUCCUCAGUUCUCAAAGUCAAUCUUCAGAACCUAAAAAAACAACCCAUGACCUCAUUACCUUCUUCCAUCAUGGUGCUGGAAGCCUAGAGAUGACUGAGCUUACAUUAACAUGUUUGCCAGUAAGCAUUUGGCCCUUUUUCCCCUCCUUUGAAACAGGUCUUCUGACAAAAGCUGUUCAGAGAACAGCCAUGAACAGAUGUGAUUUGCAUGUAAUUCUCUUUCAUCCUACACAGAACCCAGCAAGUCAGAAGCUUCCCAUGAAAAGUGUAGACCUUGUGCCUAGAAAGAUAAUUAGCCCAAAAGAAAAGGUGCAAUAUAUUCACUUGCAGCCACAGAGCUGGGAAAGCAGCUUGCAGGUUACUCCCUGCUUCCAGCCAGUCCCAGGUGGCCACAGCAUCAGGAAGGCUAGUAGGCAGUAGGCACAGCUAUGGGGUGCUCAGCAAGAUGCUAAGAGCUGGUCAGCACCACUACCUACCCUGUUUUAGCACCACACAGCUGCAUGGGGCAAGAUUUGGACACAGACGAGAAAAGCUUAAUUCAAAAACAAAAACCCAAGCCAGGAAUUUCAGAAUUCAUUUCAGUGGCUGACAUUUCUUUUUCUUGUUUCGUGUUUCACCACUGUAUGUUUUUGUGUGACUGAGUCUUCCCAACUUCAGACUUUGAAACCUCCCCACUGCACAUCAGGGCCAUAACAUACUCAACUCCUUUAACUGAGAGGAUUCUGCUGUAAAGAGAAAGAAAUUCUACUUGGGCUAAAUGAUUUCCUAUCCAGACAAAAGCCUCUUAAAGCAACAGCACUUUGCAAUAGAUCAUCAUAAAUAUUGACAUGAUUUAUUUGUAAAUGGUUAUUAAAAUUAGGUUCCUAAUCCCACGCUGAAGCCUUUAAAUCAAUGUCAACGUUUUCAAAAUGGCAAGUAUCCAGCCAGUACCCCCUGAAAUAUAUGGUGACUUUGGUGGCCAGCACUUUUGAAUGUCAAGCCAUUAAUUUAUGUGGCUAUCUUUCAGCAUCUAAUUUUGCUUCACCU
RNAcentral lists this long non-coding RNA (6456 nucleotides) under Gallus gallus (chicken). The record is from RNAcentral. Lineage: Eukaryota; Metazoa; Chordata; Aves; Galliformes; Phasianidae.